CAGGCUCAGGACGAACGCUGGCGGCGUGCCUAAUACAUGCAAGUCGAGCGGACAGAAGGGAGCUUGCUCCCGGAUGUUAGCGGCGGACGGGUGAGUAACACGUGGGUAACCUGCCUGUAAGACUGGGAUAACUCCGGGAAACCGGAGCUAAUACCGGAUAGUUCCUUGAACCGCAUGGUUCAAGGAUGAAAGACGGUUUCGGCUGUCACUUACAGAUGGACCCGCGGCGCAUUAGCUAGUUGGUGGGGUAAUGGCUCACCAAGGCGACGAUGCGUAGCCGACCUGAGAGGGUGAUCGGCCACACUGGGACUGAGACACGGCCCAGACUCCUACGGGAGGCAGCAGUAGGGAAUCUUCCGCAAUGGACGAAAGUCUGACGGAGCAACGCCGCGUGAGUGAUGAAGGUUUUCGGAUCGUAAAGCUCUGUUGUUAGGGAAGAACAAGUGCGAGAGUAACUGCUCGCACCUUGACGGUACCUAACCAGAAAGCCACGGCUAACUACGUGCCAGCAGCCGCGGUAAUACGUAGGUGGCAAGCGUUGUCCGGAAUUAUUGGGCGUAAAGGGCUCGCAGGCGGUUUCUUAAGUCUGAUGUGAAAGCCCCCGGCUCAACCGGGGAGGGUCAUUGGAAACUGGGAAACUUGAGUGCAGAAGAGGAGAGUGGAAUUCCACGUGUAGCGGUGAAAUGCGUAGAGAUGUGGAGGAACACCAGUGGCGAAGGCGACUCUCUGGUCUGUAACUGACGCUGAGGAGCGAAAGCGUGGGGAGCGAACAGGAUUAGAUACCCUGGUAGUCCACGCCGUAAACGAUGAGUGCUAAGUGUUAGGGGGUUUCCGCCCCUUAGUGCUGCAGCUAACGCAUUAAGCACUCCGCCUGGGGAGUACGGUCGCAAGACUGAAACUCAAAGGAAUUGACGGGGGCCCGCACAAGCGGUGGAGCAUGUGGUUUAAUUCGAAGCAACGCGAAGAACCUUACCAGGUCUUGACAUCCUCUGACAACCCUAGAGAUAGGGCUUUCCCUUCGGGGACAGAGUGACAGGUGGUGCAUGGUUGUCGUCAGCUCGUGUCGUGAGAUGUUGGGUUAAGUCCCGCAACGAGCGCAACCCUUGAUCUUAGUUGCCAGCAUUUAGUUGGGCACUCUAAGGUGACUGCCGGUGACAAACCGGAGGAAGGUGGGGAUGACGUCAAAUCAUCAUGCCCCUUAUGACCUGGGCUACACACGUGCUACAAUGGACAGAACAAAGGGCUGCAAGACCGCAAGGUUUAGCCAAUCCCAUAAAUCUGUUCUCAGUUCGGAUCGCAGUCUGCAACUCGACUGCGUGAAGCUGGAAUCGCUAGUAAUCGCGGAUCAGCAUGCGCGGGGGAAAAACCUUUCCCGGGGCCUUGUACACACCGCCCGUCACACCACGAGAGUUUGCAACACCCGAAGUCGGUGAGGUAACCUUUAUGGAGCCAGCCGCCGAAGGUGGGGCAGAUGAUUGGGGUGAACU
Molecule: ribosomal RNA, 1487 nt
Filed under: Bacillus pumilus
Lineage: Bacteria; Bacillati; Bacillota; Bacilli; Caryophanales; Bacillaceae
Description: bacterial SSU rRNA
Rfam family: Bacterial small subunit ribosomal RNA
Source: RNAcentral